Molecule: transfer RNA, 72 nt
Filed under: Ictidomys tridecemlineatus (thirteen-lined ground squirrel)
Lineage: Eukaryota; Metazoa; Chordata; Mammalia; Rodentia; Sciuridae
Description: Spermophilus tridecemlineatus (thirteen-lined ground squirrel) tRNA
Rfam family: tRNA
About the family: Transfer RNA (tRNA) molecules are approximately 80 nucleotides in length. Their secondary structure includes four short double-helical elements and three loops (D, anti-codon, and T loops). Further hydrogen bonds mediate the characteristic L-shaped molecular structure. tRNAs have two regions of fundamental functional importance: the anti-codon, which is responsible for specific mRNA codon recognition, and the 3' end, to which the tRNAs corresponding amino acid is attached (by aminoacyl-tRNA synthetases). tRNAs cope with the degeneracy of the genetic code in two manners: having more than one tRNA (with a specific anti-codon) for a particular amino acid; and 'wobble' base-pairing, i.e. permitting non-standard base-pairing at the 3rd anti-codon position.
Source: Rfam by way of RNAcentral
AGGGAUAUAGCUCAGUUGGUAGAGUGCUUGCCUUGCAUGCACAAGGCCUGGGUCUGAUCCCCAGCACCAUUA